GGUUAAGCGACCAAGCGUACACACGGUGGAUGCCCCGCAGUCAGAGGCGAUGAAGGACGUGCUAAUUCGCGAUAAGCGCCGGUAAGGUGAUAUGAACCGUUAUACCGGCGAUUUCCGAAUGGGGAAACCCAGUGAUUCGUCACACUAUCAUUAACUGAAUCCAUAGGCACGAGAAGCAACCCGGGGAACUGGAAACAUCUAAGUACCCCGAGUGAAAAGAAAUCAACCGGAGAUUCCCCAGCAGCGCGAGCGAACGGAGGAGCCCAGAGCCUGAAUCAGCAUGCGUUUAGCGGAAGGUUCGGAAAGGGCGCGCGAUACAGGGUGAUGCCCCUGCACACAAAAAGCGCAUGUGUUGUGAGCUCGAUGAGUAGGCGGGACACGUGGUAUCCUGCCCGAAAUAUGGGGGACCAUCCUCCAAGGCUAAAUACUCCUUGACUACCGAUAGUGAACCAGUACCGUGGAGGGAAAGGCGAAAGAACCCUUGCUUAGGUGGCGGAAAAGAACCUGAAACCGUGUACGUACAGCAGAGUGGGGAGCACAGGCUGGCCCCGUGACUGCGUACCUUUGUAUAAUGGGUCAGCGACUUAUAUUCUGUAGCAAGGUUAACCGUAUAGGGAGCCGGAGGGAAACCGAGUCUUAACCGGGCGUUAAGUUGCAGGGUAUAGACCCGAAACCCGGUGAUCUACCAUGGGCAGGUUGAAGGUUGGGUAACACUAACUGGAGUGACCGAACCGUGAAAAUGUUGAAAAUUAGCGAUUUUCACCGUGGUCAGUGAAAGGCCAAUCAAACCGGGAGAUAGCUGGUUCUCCCCGAAAGCGCAGGGUAGCGCUCGUGAAUUCACUUCUCCCGGGGUAGAGCACUGUUUCGGCUAGGGGGCCAUCCCGGCUACCAACCCGAUGCAAACUGCGAAUACCGGAGAAUGUUAUCACGGAGACACACACGGCGGGUGCUAACGUCCGUCGAAGAGGGAAACAACCCAGACCGCCAGCUAAGGUCCCAAAGUCAUGGCUAAGUGGGAACGAUGUGGAAGCGCCCACAUGUCGAUGUUGGCUUAGGCCAGCCAUCAUUUAAAGAAAGCGCAAUAGCUCACUGGUCGAGUCGGCCUGCGCGGAAGAUGUAACGGCCAAACCAUGCACCGAAGCUGCGGCAGCGACGCGAUGCGUUGUUGCAGGGAGCUGCCCUGUAAGCCCUGAAGGUGUGUCGCGAGGCAUGCUGGAGGUAUCAGAAGUGCGAAUGCUGACAAGUAACGAUAAAGUGGUGAAAAGCCUGCUCGCCGGAAGACCAAGGGUUCCCGUCCAACGUUAAUCGGGGCAGGUGAGCUCGACCCCUAAGGCGAGGCCGUGAAAGUAGUCGAUGGGAAACAGGUUAAUAUUCCUGUACUCGCAAGCGCUUCUCGCGAAGGGGGACGGAGAAGGCUAUGUUGGCCGGGCGUGACGGUUGUCCCGGUUUAAGCGUGUAGGUGUGUGUUCCGUGCAAAUCCGGUUCACUUUAACACUGAGGCGUGAUGACGAGGCACUACGGUGCUGAAGCAACAAAUGCCCUGGCCUGAAAAGCCUCUGCUCAGGUAACAUCAAAUCAAAACCCCAAACCGACACAGGUGGCCGGUAGAGAAUACCAAGGCGCUUUGAGAGAACUCUCGGUGAAGGAAUUCAGGGCAAAAUGGUGCCGUAACUUCGGGAGAAGGCACGCUGACAUGUAGGUGAAGUGAUUUACUCACGGAGCUGAAGUCAGUCGAAGAUACCAGCUGGCUGCAACUGUUUAUUAAAAACACAGCACUGUGCAAACACCAGAAAGUGGACGUAUACGGUGUGACGCCUGCCCGGUGCCGGAAGGUUAAUUGAUGGGGGUCAGCGCAAGCGAAGCUCCUGAUCGAAGCCCCGGUAAACGGCGGCCGUAACUAUAACGGUCCUAAGGUAUGAAAUCUGUCGGGUAAGUUCCGACCGCACGAAUGGCGUAAUGAUGGCCGUAGCCGUCUCCACCCGAGUAAUUGUGCGAAAUUCGAACUCGCUGUGAAGAUGCAGUGUACCCGCGGCAAGACGGAAAGACCCCGUGAACUUUACUAUAGCUUGACACUGAACAUUGAGCCUGAUGUGUAGGAUAGGUGGGAGGCUUUGAAGUGUGGACGCCAGUCUGCAUGGAGCCGACCUUGAAAUACCACCCUUUAACACGUUUGAUGUCUUAACGUGGACCCGUUACCCGGGUUGCGAUUGCGUCUGGUGGGUAGUUUGAUUGAAGCGGCCCUCCCUAAAGAGUAACGGUAAAGGAGGAGCACGAAGGUUGGCUAACUCGUCGGACAUCAGGAGGUUAGUGCAAUGGCAUAAGCCAGCUUGACUGCGAGCAACGGCGCGAUAUGCGAAAGUUAUAUCAUAGUGAUCCGGUGGUUCUGAAAUGGAAGGGCCACCGCUCUCAACGGAUAAAAGGUACCCGGGGAUAACAGUAGCCGAUACCGCCCAAGAGUUCAUAUCGACGGCGGUGUUUGGCACCCUCCCGAUGUCGGCUCAUCACAUCCCCGGGCUGAAGUAGUGUCCCAUGCUGCGCGGCUGUUCGCCAUUUAAAGUGGUACGCGAGCUGGGUUUAGAACGUCGUGAGACAGCCUGGUCCCUAUUCGCCGUGGGGCGCUGGAGAACUGAGGGGGGCUGUUCCUGCAAGUACGAGAGGACCGGAGUGGACGUCACUGGUGUUCGGGCUGUCAUGCCAAUGGCACUGCCCGGUAGCUGUCGCGGAAGAGAUAAGUGCUGAAAGCAUCUACACGAAAUCCUUGCCCCGAGAUGAGUUCUCCCUGAGACUUAGAGUCUCCUGAAGUGAACGCUGAAGACGACGACGAUAGGCCGGGUGCGUAAGCGCAGCGAUGCGUUGAGCCAACCGGUACUAAUGAACCGUGAGGCUUAACCUU
RNAcentral lists this ribosomal RNA (2893 nucleotides) under Salmonella enterica subsp. enterica. RNAcentral's name for it is "23S ribosomal RNA". It matches the Rfam family "Bacterial large subunit ribosomal RNA". Lineage: Bacteria; Pseudomonadati; Pseudomonadota; Gammaproteobacteria; Enterobacterales; Enterobacteriaceae. The record is from RNAcentral.